This 313-nucleotide unclassified non-coding RNA is filed under the name uncultured Thelephoraceae. RNAcentral describes it as "sequence contains ITS2". The record is from RNAcentral. Lineage: Eukaryota; Fungi; Basidiomycota; Agaricomycetes; Thelephorales; Thelephoraceae.
AACGCACCUUGCGCCCUUUGGCUAUUCUGAAGGGCAUGCCUGUUUGAGUAUCAUGAACACCUCAACUCUCAUGGUCCGCCAUGACGAGCUUGGACUUUGGGGGUCUUGCCGGCCUAGCGUCGGCUCCUCUCAAAUGGAUCAGCUUCCCAGUGUUUGGCGGCGUCACAGGUGUGAUAACUAUCUACGCUUGUGGUUUUCUGCCAUUAACCUUCAGCAAUGGAGGUUCGCUGGAGCUCACAGAUGUCUCUCCUUGGGGAGGACAGCUUCUUGAACGUCUGAUCUCAAAUCAGGUAGGACUACCCGCUGAACUUAA